RNAcentral lists this small RNA (76 nucleotides) under Flavobacterium sp. 316. Its description in RNAcentral is "Flavo-1 RNA". It matches the Rfam family "Flavo-1 RNA". The record is from Rfam by way of RNAcentral. Lineage: Bacteria; Pseudomonadati; Bacteroidota; Flavobacteriia; Flavobacteriales; Flavobacteriaceae.
ACAUAGCCCUGAUAGAGCUGAUAUCCUUUUUUGUAGUGAUAGCGAAAAAAAGAUAAAGGCGAAAGCAGGAAAAAGC